RNAcentral lists this ribosomal RNA (1540 nucleotides) under Staphylococcus aureus. RNAcentral describes it as "16S ribosomal RNA". It matches the Rfam family "Bacterial small subunit ribosomal RNA". Lineage: Bacteria; Bacillati; Bacillota; Bacilli; Caryophanales; Staphylococcaceae. The record is from RNAcentral.
AGAGUUUGAUCCUGGCUCAGGAUGAACGCUGGCGGCGUGCCUAAUACAUGCAAGUCGAGCGAACGGACGAGAAGCUUGCUUCUCUGAUGUUAGCGGCGGACGGGUGAGUAACACGUGGAUAACCUACCUAUAAGACUGGGAUAACUUCGGGAAACCGGAGCUAAUACCGGAUAAUAUUUUGAACCGCAUGGUUCAAAAGUGAAAGACGGUCUUGCUGUCACUUAUAGAUGGAUCCGCGCUGCAUUAGCUAGUUGGUAAGGUAACGGCUUACCAAGGCAACGAUGCAUAGCCGACCUGAGAGGGUGAUCGGCCACACUGGAACUGAGACACGGUCCAGACUCCUACGGGAGGCAGCAGUAGGGAAUCUUCCGCAAUGGUCGAAAGCCUGACGGAGCAACGCCGCGUGAGUGAUGAAGGUCUUCGGAUCGUAAAACUCUGUUAUUAGGGAAGAACAUAUGUGUAAGUAACUGUGCACAUCUUGACGGUACCUAAUCAGAAAGCCACGGCUAACUACGUGCCAGCAGCCGCGGUAAUACGUAGGUGGCAAGCGUUAUCCGGAAUUAUUGGGCGUAAAGCGCGCGUAGGCGGUUUUUUAAGUCUGAUGUGAAAGCCCACGGCUCAACCGUGGAGGGUCAUUGGAAACUGGAAAACUUGAGUGCAGAAGAGGAAAGUGGAAUUCCAUGUGUAGCGGUGAAAUGCGCAGAGAUAUGGAGGAACACCAGUGGCGAAGGCGACUUUCUGGUCUGUAACUGACGCUGAUGUGCGAAAGCGUGGGGAUCAAACAGGAUUAGAUACCCUGGUAGUCCACGCCGUAAACGAUGAGUGCUAAGUGUUAGGGGGUUUCCGCCCCUUAGUGCUGCAGCUAACGCAUUAAGCACUCCGCCUGGGGAGUACGACCGCAAGGUUGAAACUCAAAGGAAUUGACGGGGACCCGCACAAGCGGUGGAGCAUGUGGUUUAAUUCGAAGCAACGCGAAGAACCUUACCAAAUCUUGACAUCCUUUGACAACUCUAGAGAUAGAGCCUUCCCCUUCGGGGGGCAAAGGGACAGGUGGGGCAUGGUUGUCGUCAGCUCGGGUCGUGAGAUGUUGGGUUAAGUCCCGCAACGAGCGCAACCCUUAAGCUUAGUUGCCAUCAUUAAGUUGGGCACUCUAAGUUGACUGCCGGUGACAAACCGGAGGAAGGUGGGGAUGACGUCAAAUCAUCAUGCCCCUUAUGAUUUGGGCUACACACGUGCUACAAUGGACAAUACAAAGGGCAGCGAAACCGCGAGGUCAAGCAAAUCCCAUAAAGUUGUUCUCAGUUCGGAUUGUAGUCUGCAACUCGACUACAUGAAGCUGGAAUCGCUAGUAAUCGUAGAUCAGCAUGCUACGGUGAAUACGUUCCCGGGUCUUGUACACACCGCCCGUCACACCACGAGAGUUUGUAACACCCGAAGCCGGUGGAGUAACCUUUUAGGAGCUAGCCGUCGAAGGUGGGACAAAUGAUUGGGGUGAAGUCGUAACAAGGUAGCCGUAUCGGAAGGUGCGGCUGGAUCACCU